This 508-nucleotide ribosomal RNA is filed under the name uncultured bacterium. RNAcentral describes it as "partial 16S ribosomal RNA". It matches the Rfam family "Bacterial small subunit ribosomal RNA", at positions 28 to 523 of the family's 1533-position model. The record is from RNAcentral.
GAUGAACGCUAGCUACAGGCUUAACACAUGCAAGUCGAGGGGAAACGAUAUUGGAAGCUUGCUUCCGAUAGGCGUCGACCGGCGCACGGGUGAGUAACGCGUAUCCAACCUGCCCACCACUUGGGGAGAACCUUGCGAAAGUAAGACUAAUACCCAAUGAUAUCUCUAGAAGACAUCUGAAGGAGAUUAAAGAAUUAUCGGUGAUGGAUGGGGAUGCGUCUGAUUAGCUUGUUGGCGGGGUAACGGCCCACCAAGGCGACGAUCAGUAGGGGUUCUGAGAGGAAGGUCCACCACAUUGGAACUGAGACACGGUCCAAACUCCUACGGGAGGCAGCAGUGAGGAAUAUUGGUCAAUGGGCGAGAGCCUGAACCAGCCAAGUAGCGUGCAGGAUGACGGCCCUAUGGGUUGUAAACUGCUUUUAUAAGGGAAUAAAGUGAGCCUCGUGAGGCUUUUUGCAUGUACCUUAUGAAUAAGGACCGGCUAAUUCCGUGCCAGCAGCCGCAGUAA